Phrynosoma platyrhinos (Desert horned lizard) is the source of this 70-nucleotide non-coding RNA. NCBI's taxonomy places the organism in Eukaryota, Metazoa, Chordata, Lepidosauria, Squamata, Phrynosomatidae. The record is from the annotation of a GenBank genome assembly.
GCUAGUGUGGUGUAGUGGUUUGAGUGUUGCUAUGAAUUUAGAGACCAGGGUUUGAAUCCCUGCUCUGUCA